RNAcentral lists this ribosomal RNA (494 nucleotides) under uncultured bacterium. Its description in RNAcentral is "partial 16S ribosomal RNA". It matches the Rfam family "Bacterial small subunit ribosomal RNA", at positions 28 to 507 of the family's 1533-position model. The record is from RNAcentral.
GACGAACGCUGGCGGCGUGCUUAACACAUGCAAGUCGAACGGUGAAGCGCCUUCCUUUUUGGUGGGUGUGGAUGAGUGGCGAACGGGUGAGUAACACGUGAGUAACCUGCCCCCUUCUUCUGGAUAACCGCAUGAAAGUGUGGCUAAUACGGGAUAUUCUGGGUCUGUCGCAUGAUGGGUCUGGGAAAGAUAUUGUUUCGGUGGGGGAUGGGCUCGCGGCCUAUCAGCUUGUUGGUGGGGUGAUGGCCUACCAAGGCGGUGACGGGUAGCCGGCCUGAGAGGGUGGACGGGCACACUGGGACUGAGACACGGCCCAGACUCCUACGGGAGGCAGCAGUGGGGAAUAGUGCACAAUGGGCGGAAGCCUGAUGCAGCGACGCCGCGUGAGGGAUGGAGGCCUUCGGGUUGUGAACCUCUUUCGCCAGUGAAGCAGGCCUGCCUCGUUUGUGGGUGGGUUGACGGUAGCUGGAUAAGAAGCGCCGGCUAACUACGUG